CACGGGGGGAGCAAGCGUUGUUCGGAUUCAUUGGGCGUAAAGAGCUCGUAGGCCGCUCUGUAAGUCGGAAGUGAAAGACCACGGCUCAACCGUGGAAGUGCACCCGAAACUGCGUAGCUAGAGUCCUGGAGAGGAAGGUGGAAUGCGCAGAUAUCAGGAAGAACACCGACGGCGAAGGCAGCUCGCUGGGACGGUACUGACGCUGAGGCGCGAAAGCGUGGGGAGCGAACAGG
RNAcentral lists this ribosomal RNA (233 nucleotides) under uncultured bacterium. RNAcentral's name for it is "partial 16S ribosomal RNA". It matches the Rfam family "Bacterial small subunit ribosomal RNA", at positions 524 to 776 of the family's 1533-position model. The record is from RNAcentral.